Molecule: long non-coding RNA, 20088 nt
Filed under: Gossypium barbadense (sea-island cotton)
Lineage: Eukaryota; Viridiplantae; Streptophyta; Magnoliopsida; Malvales; Malvaceae
Description: long non-coding RNA (GBAR_LNC002113)
Source: RNAcentral
AAGCUUCCAACUUUCGACUAAUGCAUGGUAGGCAUUUCUAGUCUCGUUUUUAAUUAUUUUUAUAUUUUCGGGAUCGUUAUUGCUUAAUCUAUCUAAUGAGGGGGCUAUUUUCCAAAACCAUUGAAUAGUUUGAUAUUUUCCAUUGAUGAGUAUAAUAGGGUUUUGAAGUUUAAUGGAAGAAUAUGAGUCCUUGUUGAUAGUUAAACACUUUUUGUUAAGUGAAUUUUUGUGAAAUUGACAAUUAAGGGCUAAAUUGAUAAAUGUGAAAACUUUGUCGUUAAAAUGUCAAAUAAAUGAAAUGUGUGGGCUGCUAGAGACACUAGUGAUAUUCUUCUAUAGUAGAAUUUUACUCAAUUUCAUGAAUUUGCAUUUUUAUGAUAUAGUGACUAAAUUGUAAAGAAGUUGAAAUAUUAGGGGCAAAACUAUAAUUUUUCCAUAAAGUGAAUUAUGGACUAUUUUGAUACCAUGAACAUUUGGCUAAGCUUAAUUAUGGUUAAAAUGAUUAAUUUGCAUGUUUUGAGCUCAGGGACUAAAAUGAAUAAAAGUAAAACUUUAGGGGUAAUUUUUUAAAAAUGACAAAAAUGACCAAAUUGUAUGAAAUGAGGUGUUUUACUGUCUAAAUUAAUAUAUUGAAUGAAAUUGUUAAUUUAGAUCAAGAUCGGGUGGAAAAUCGAGGAAAAUGAGAAAAUUACCAAAAUACCCCUGAACUUUGGUAUCUCUACAAUUUAGCCAGGUAAGUUCGUAUGCAAUAAGCAUUGUUAAAUUUAUGUUUCUAAUGCUUUGAUAUCAUAAAAAUUGUAUAUACGUGAAUAUUUUAAUGUCUGACGACAUAUCGACAAAAUGUGGCACUUAGUGUGCGGGGUAAUCAAAUAUGGUACUCAGUGUACGAAAUAUUGAGAAUGACACUUAAUGUGCGAGAUAUUGAGAAUGACACUUAGUGUGCAAAAUAUUGAAUGAUUAAAUAGAGAAAAGUGAACAGGUAUACAUGCUAUAUUAUAUGAAUUGCUUAUGAGACGACUUUAUAAUGGUGUUAUAUCUGGGCUAAGUCCCGAAGGCAUUCGUGUUGGUGUUAUAUCCGGGCUAAGUCCUGAAGGCAUUCGUGCUGGUGGUAUAUCUGGGCUAAGUCCCGAAGGCAUUCGUGCUGGUGUUAUAUCCGGGCUAAGUCCCGAAGGCAUUCGUGCUGGUGUUAUAUCCGGGCUAAGCCCCGAAGGCAUUCGUGCUGGUGUUAUAUCCGGGCUAAAGUCUGCAGGCUUUGUGCUGGUAUUAUAUCCGGGCUUAAAGUCCCGCAUGCUUUGUGGUGGUGAUUGGAUUUGGGUUUUAAACCUAGCAGACUUAAUGCCGAUGAUUGGAGUAAGAUUAUGAUUUUGAAUGUUCGUAGUAAACUACCAUUGAAUAUGUUCAAUGCAUUAAGUUGGUCAGGUAUGUAUUAUAUACUUUUAUAUGUUAGAUUGAUCGGAAUUGAAUCAUGAAUGCGAAAUGAGAAGUAUAUGUGAAAAUCUCAUAUGUGUAUGUGUGUAUUCGGUUAUGGUGAAAGGUUACAUGAGAUUGAUUUGGUGAUAUACAUGUUAAAUAAUAUGAAUGCAAAGAAUGUGUAAUAAAUCUGCUUGGGACAGCAGCAGUAACGUGAUUUCGGAAAAUCACCAUAAAUUGUGGGAGUUGAGUUAGAGGCUGAAUAAAUUAUGUCAUGAAAUCUUAAUGAGUCUAGUUUCUUAUAAAAGAAACCGUGUAAGCAAAAGAAUUUCCAAUAAUGAGAUAUUUGAAGUGGCAUGGAACAGAGUCAAAAUGACGUCGAGGUCUCUUAUUCUGUUUUCAGAAAAUCAUUAUAAAUGGUACAAAAAUGGUUAUAAGAUAAAAUUUAUAUUCUUAGACUCCUUAAUGAGUCUAGUUUCAAAUGAAAUAAACAAUAACAUAUUUUGAAUUCUGUAUAAUGAGAAUUUUGAUUCGUAGUUAAGAGUGGUCAGAAUAGUCAAACAGUGAAACAGGGGAAAAAUUCAAGAAAAAUAUGGUAUUGAUUGAUAAAACCAAAAAUUCUGAAAAUUUUAUGGAUGGAAGACAUAUGAGUCUAUUUUCAGGGAAAAUUAAUGGCACUCUAUUUGGAGUUUCUUAGCUCCAGUUAUAAAUAAUUUAGUGACUAUUGCUCAGGAAGACAGCUUGUAGUGAAUUUGUGAUUUUGUUGCAAACAUGGUUAAAACUUGUUAAUGAGAUGCUUUUUGAGUUCUUAUGAUCUUAUUUUUUAUUUCAAUAUUUGGUUUUAAUUCAGUUUAGAUUCAAGUGAGGUGAAUUUGCUACAUAUGCAUUAUGUUCAUGGAUACUUGGCCAAAAUGGAAAUUAUCUAGGAAUGAUUUCUUGAAAAUUUGAAUAAUCGAUCUAUAAGUAAAUUAAUUGUUUGCAUUGCUUAAAACUUACUAAGCAUUGAAGCUUACUCCGUGUUCUCUUUUCCAUUUUUUAUAGGUUUAUACUUUAGCUCGAGUUGGAAGGGCCGGAGAUAUCAUCACACUAUCGAGUCAUUAUGUGAGUUGAGAAGAUUGUAUAUCAUCAUGGUUUAAGGCAUGUAUAGGAUAGACUAUAGGUAGAAUGAUAUUUCGACUUGUAUACAUUAUAGCCAUGCGAAGAUGGCUUGCUCGUUUUGUUUAGAAAAGCCUUAUAAUUGAACUAAUGUGGUGAAAUGUUUUAGUUAUAACUUGAUAGUAUUUAAAUUGUUAUUAGAUAUUCAGUUAUGUUUUGAUAGUGAGUCAUUUUGGAAAUUUAUAAGAGCUCCUAUGGAAAAUCAAUGAGACAUGUUUACAUUGUUGAUAAUUUAUGUCUGGUAAGUAUCUUUGACCUUAUAGAAGUUUUGUUCAGUCAAGUAAUACCUCAUAACCUUAUUCCGGCGACAGAUACGGGUUAGGAGUGUUACAUUUAGUGGUAUCAGAGCUAUGGUUUAGUCGAUUCUCGGACUAACCUAGCGUAUGUGAGUCUAGCUAUACAUGCCAUAUUACUACUCGUGAUAGUAUGACAUCUCCCGGCUCUAACAAAAUUGUUUUGUAAGAUAGAUAUGCUUUCCAACCGAGCUAAUUCUGAUAGUACAGAAUGUUAUACUCAAACGUUUGAUUGAAAAUAUGUUGGUGAUGAGUUGAAACUCAUAAAAGGUAUGAAUCAGAAUGCAUGAUAUUCUGCUAUUGAUAAAUGUUAUAAUUAUAUGAGUAUAUGAGUUGUGAUGUUGGGUAUAUAAUUGUUGUGUGAAUAUUUUGAUUUGGAAUUUAUGAUUUGAUUUAGUGUAUGAGCUAUGUGUUAAGUACCAAGUGAUCAUAAGUAAAUGAUUGCUAGAUGUUUGAGAAUGUGGAAUUAGUAAUGAACUUUUCGUUCAUAAUAGUAUGUGUGAUGUGCAUGCUUACGUAAGAGUUAAAAUUGUUGGCUUUACAACCCGCACCCCCUCAUUGGUAAAGCAUUGUAAUGAGAUCCGUACUAUAUGGCUUAAAUAAGCUGUAACACCCCAAACCCGGCCUAGACGUUAUGACCGGAUCCGGUGCGCCACAUCGAUGCGUGCAAAACGUUCCGUUUUACUUAGUUUGGAAAACUUAGUUGGGGUUGUAUAAGAUACUUUUUAAAGCAGGUUAAGGUGAAUAGAGGCUGUGCACCAGGUAGGAAACCAGGAAGAAGAGGAGGUGAGUCUGUCGGACUGCUUAAGUACCAAGCUCCCUUCGGAUCCAAUCCUAGACAUGCAUACCACCAUUGCCACACCUAACGACUCGUAUAAUUGUGAGAAAACCGUCUGGUUAUGUCUAUCUUUAAGAAAAUGAUUAAGUUUAAAAACGUUUGCUUAGCGGAAGUCUUACUUGUAAUCGUGUUAUUUUGAAAUCCCUUAAUGUUUUUGAAAACACGUCCUAAAGCUAACCCAUUUUCCUUAGUCAUCAUAGUUUUUUUCAUCAUAGUAAAAUAAAAUAAUAAAAAUAAAACAAAACCAUAAAAAUAAUUAAAAGGCCUUAUUACACUUAAAACCCAAAACCAUAGAUGAAAUUAAAGGACGUCCAGUUCACCAGAAAGAAACCAGGUUCGUAGAAACAUGUGGCCAGUCCAAAUCCCUCACAGCUCAAAGCCCACUAUGGUUGAGGAUUACCUGCGAGGAUGAAAAUAAGGGGUGAGUUUUGGAAAAAUCAGUGUGUAAUUCAACCCAACCAUAGCCUAAAUCAGUUCAAACCACAGAGACAGAAUAAGUUGGCCUCAGCCCAGAACAGAUAUCAGAAUAAAGCCCAUAGGCCUAGAACAGAUCAGAAUAGAUAUAUCAUGCUUAUGCAGAAACCCAACCAUAUCCAACCACAUACACCCCCAUACCAUCCUUUCACCAUGUGGGGAGACUACUCGACCCACCCAACCGCUACACGCCACAGAAAUAUGCAGCAUGGCUGCCAAAUACAGAAAAUGUGGCAGAGUCACCAGAUACAGAUAUUUUGUGGCAGUGCCACCAGAACAGAUAAUUUGUGGCAGGGCAACCAGAACAGAUUAUUUGUGGCAUAGCCACCAGGACGCUUCCGCCAUAAUAUAACCCAUGUCCCCAUGCAACAGAUAUACAUUCAUGGCAUACAUCAUACAUAUUUAAUUCAUCAUGCUUUUCAGACAAAAUUAACCCUAGGGUUAUAAAGGUCAUUUUGCAUACAUAGAGGUAUAAUGGUAAUUUUGCAUACAUAGGGGUAUUCUAGUAAAUCUAACUAUUUCUAAGGUUUUCAUGCAUAUCGUAGCUAUUACGUUUAGCCAAAAACACUUACCGAGCAUUCUUACCGAAUUGGGCCCGUUGGCCCAUUAACCCAAUUUUGGCCCAUUAAGCCCAAAAUAUCAAAACGCACGAAAUCGCGCGUACUACAGUUUUAUCACUUCCUAUUACCAGUAAUAAUUACCCAUACGUCUCACGAGCAUUCGCACACUCACAAGCGCCCAAAAUACCAGUUUUUCGGUAUUUCAGCUUUUCGGCUUUUGCCGAUCUAGGCUAUGAAAGGGUGUCAAUUACACACCUGAUUUGUGACGACUUGCUGACAAGAUCCACGCAUGAACUGCCUACAAUUACGUUGCUACAAUUCUUAGAUCGCAAAUCACAACACUAAUCUCCAUAAUUACUUACCCAUAUUCGACUCUGUCCCUAAAAGCCUUUAAAACUUUACCUUCUUGCCGAAAUCCGAUGGCUAGAUCCAAGUCUGAUCGCUCCAAAGAUCCAAGCCUUCGAUCCAACCCUUGAGAAGACACUAGUCAUCAAAAUAAAUCAUCGGUUAAAGACCCUUUAUGCCCUAUGCCCAAAUCGAUAGCCUCCCUAGAUUUUAGGGACUUCGGCUUUUCCUAACUUGAAAAAUAAGACUAGAUUUGGAGUGAUGAGCACUUACCACUUAUUCCUUCCUGCUUUCCACAUAGAUCUGAUGCAGAUUCAACCUUUAAACGAUGGUAAAACUUGAAUCUAGAAGCUUUGAAGUUUCGGCUACAAGUCCCUAACUGUAUAGUAGUUUCGGCUUUUCUAGGUGAUAUAGAAAAUAAUGAUUUGAGGCUAUAACCCUGGGUAAUGUUGUCGACAGAUGCUAGGGGUUUAGAGGAGAGGAAUGUUGGUCAAAAAGGAAAACAUAUUGAGGAAUAUGGCUUUGGAAAAACGGCACAAGAAUAUAGCUUUCAGGAUUUUGAGAUUUGAGGUUCGGCUUUAGUCUAAGAAAAUUAAUGGAGGAAAGUGAUGUAGAGUAGGGUGGGGAUGGACAGGAGGUUUGAAAGGUUCGGCUAUGGAGAAAGAGAAUAAGAAGAAAGCAAAAAUGGCUAAAGGGAGAAGGUGAGAAAAGCAGCAAACAGCACAACUCCCUCCCUAUUGCCGAAUUUAUACUGGCACUUUAACCUAGCCGAAUUUACCCCUCUAAAGAAACCCUUGGCCAGCCACCUCUUGCUCCUCAAGAGUCAAAAAUUCGGCCAACACAGCUCACCCCUAUCAGCUCCUAGAUUUCCUCCCUUAUCUCUAUCCUUAUUCAAUCCCCUUACCCUCUUAAACUCUUCCUGACAGACUUUUAUUUCAGUUCCAUCACUUCCCUUUCCUGUACAUAAAAAUUAAUCACUUAAUUUGCUGUCAUUAUGACUUGAACCUGGGUCCUCCCCAAGCUUCCACACGCCAUUACAUCCUUCCCAGUGGCGUCACAUGCCACUUUACCACUUGCUUCCUUGUGAUCCAUUUUCACAAUUAAUUCCUAAAAGCCCAAUUUAUCAGAACCCCUUUCUCUUAUAGAAUUAAAUUUAAUUAAAACUACCGUGUUUUAUCCUAAGCUUGGGCCUUCUAGAGGCCCACCAACAUGAUUAAUCCUACACAUAACAAACAGAACAUAGAAUUUUAAAUUUUACAACUUUUAUAGAAUUCCCAAAAAUUGGGGCGUUACAACUCUACCCUCCUUAAAGAAAUUUCGUCCUCGAAAUUUACCUGAUCCGAACAGAUGAGGGUAUUGUUGUUGCAUUGCCUCCUCUAGCUCCCAAGUAGCUUCUUCUCUGCCAUGGUUAUGCCAAUGCACUUUCACUAAUGGUACCAAUUUCCUCCUUAGAACCUUAACGUCUCGAUCCAAUAUUUCUAUAGGCUCCUCCUCAAAGGUCAAAUCAGUUCGCACCUCAAUUUCUGCAACCGGCACGACAUGAGUAGGGUCAGAACGAUAGCGCCUUAACAUGGAGACGUGAAAAACAUCGUGAAUCCUGUCUAGCUCUGGAGGCAACUCCAACUGAUAAGCCACUGGGCCUACUCGCUUCAAAACCCGAUAAGGCCCAAUGAACCGCGGACUCAACUUGCCAUUCUUACCAAACCUUAGUAUCUUCUUCAAAGGUGAAACCUUCAAGAAGACCAUAUCGCCCACUGAGUAUUCAAUCUCCUUACGCUUCAGAUCUGCAUACGACUUUUGCCUAUCAGACGCUUCCUUUAACUGAUCUCUAAUUAACUUGACCUUAUCCUCAGUAUCUGCCACCAACUAAGGUCCAAGAACUUGUCGCUCCCCCAGUUCAGUCCAACAACUAGGUGUUUGACACCUUCGCCCAUACAGUGCUUCAUAAGGUGCCAUUCGAAUACUCGACUGAUAACUAUUGUUGUAUGCAAACUCUGCCAAAGGCAAGUAAUCCCCCCCAACUACCUUGGAAAUCAAUAACACAUCCCCUCAACAUGUCUUCUAGAAUCUGAAUAACUCUUUCCGAUUGACCAUCAGUUUGGGGAUAGAAAGCCGUACUAAAGUUCAAUCGCGUUCCCAACGCCUCAUGCAACUUUUGCCAAAACCGAGAUGUGAAUCUAGGAUCCCGAUCAGAGAUAAUCGAAAUCGAAACUCCAUGCAGUCGCACAAUCUCUGCCACAUACAACUUGGCUAACUUCUGAAGAGAAAAGUCUGUUCGAACAGGUAUAAAAUGAGCCGACUUGGUCAACCUAUCCACAAUCACCCAUAUCGAGUCUUUCUUCGAUGGUGACAAGGGUAGCCCACUCACAAAAUCCAUGGUUACCCUCUCCCACUUCCAAAGUGGUAUUUUUACUGGCUGCAAUAAUCCAGAAGGUAACUGAUGCUCAGCUUUCACUUGCUGGCAUGUCAGACAUUUCCCCACAAAUUCGGUUACCUCUCACUUAAGUCCAGGCCACCAAUACAGUUCUCGCAAGUCAUGGUACAACUUAUUCUCUCCAGGAUGCAUGACACAAAGUCCCCUAUGAGCUUCCUUCAAAAUUGACUGUCUCAAGUCAGAGUCCUUCGGAACACAAAUUCUUCCUCGGAAACACAGAACCCCUUCAUCAUUUAUCCCAUACUCAGAAGUUUCCCUUUCCUUAACUUGUUGAAAACGAGGGACCAAAGACUCAUCUUUCAACUGCUUUUCCUUAAUCUGAUCCACCCAGGUUGGCCUUACUUGCAAUUCAGCCAACAGACUUCCAUCAUCAUACAGACUUAGACGAGCAAACAUUGCUCUCAGAUCAGAUACAGCUCUACGACUUAGAGCAUCGGCUACCACAUUAGCCCUGCCUGGGUGAUAUUCGAUUGAAUAAUCAUAAUCCUUAAGCAACUCGAUCCAUCUCCUUUGCCUAAGGUUCAGUUCCUUCUGAGUCAGCAAAUACUUGAGACUCUUAUGAUCUGUGUAUAUAAUACACCUUUCUCCAUACAAGUAAUGUCUCCAGAUUUUCAGUGCAAAGAUCACUGCUGCUAACUCCAAAUCAUGAGUAGGAUAGUUCCCUUCGUGAGGCUUAAGUUGUCGAGACGCAUAAGCAACCACCUUACCCUCUUGCAUCAACACACAACCCAAACCUACGUGUGAUGCAUCACUGUACACAGUAAAAUCUUUUCCAGACUCUGGUUGAAUUAACACAGGUGCUUCAGUCAGAACUUUCUUCAACCUCUCAAAAGCUUCUUGCUUCUUCUCCGUCCAAACAAACGGUACUCCUUUCCUUAUAAGUUUUGUGAGAGGUGCUGUCAUCACAGAAAAACCUUCCACAAACCUUCUGUAGUAACCUGCCAAUCCUAGGAAACUUUGAAUUUCUAAAACCGACCUAGGUGGCUUCCAUUCCAAAAUUGCUUCAAUCUUUCAAGGAUCCACUCUAAUCCCCUCUGCAGAGACCACAUGCCCCAAAAAGGUUACCUCCCUCAACCAGAACUCACACUUGCUGAACUUCGCAUAAAGUUCCUUCUCCCUUAACACUUGUAACACAGUACGGAGAUGCUCAUCAUGUUUUGCUUCGGUCUCAGAAUAUACCAGAAUAUCGUCAAUAAGGACGACCACGAACCGAUCCAGAAAUGGUUGGAACACACGAUUCAUCAGAUCCAUAAACGCUGCAGGAGCAUUUGUUAGUCCAAAUGGCAUAACCAGAAACUCAUAAUGACCAUAACGAGUCCUCAAUGCUGUCUUAUGAAUAUCUGCUUCCUUGACCCUUAGCUGAUGAUAUCCAGAUCGAAGAUCGAUCUUGGAAAAUACAGAAGCUCCUUUAAGCUGAUCGAACAGAUCGUCAAUCCUUGGCAGAGGGUACUUAUUCUUAAUCGUUAGUUUGUUCAACUGGCGAUAGUCAAUGCACAUGCGCAUCGUCCCAUCCUUCUUCUUCACGAAUAGCACCGGUGCUCCCCAUGGAGACACACUUGGCCUAAUAAAGCCCCUAUCCAACAAUUCUUGAAUUUGCGCCUUUAGCUCCACUAACUCCUUUGGUGCCAUCCUAUAUGGUGCAAUGGACACUGGUGCUGUCCCAGGCAACAGGUCGAUUCCAAAUUCGACUUCCCGAUUUGGAGGAAAUCCCGGAAACUCCUCCGGAAAGACAUCUUGGAACUCUUUUACAGUUCUAACCUUAUCCACUGUCAGCCCCUCUACAUCUGUUUGACUUACAAAUGCCAAAUAGGCCUCACACCCUUUUCGAAUCCACUUUUCCGCCCUCAAUGCCGAUAUUACAUUAGACAAAUAGUCCAUUCACUCACCUAUCACCAUAACCUCAUCCACUUCUGUGGUCCUUAGCACCAUUCGCUUAGCAGCACAGUCCAGAGUCGCCUUAUGCUUAACACUCCAGUCCAUUCCCAGAAUGAGAUCAAACUCUCCAAACGGCAACUCCAUUAGAUCGCCAGGAAAGAUCCUACCUUGAGUUUCUAAGGGUACAUCCUUAUACAGCUUGUCUACCCUAACCGAUUGACCCAAGGGACUUAGCACAGAUACCCCACUCACUAUCUUCUCAGAAUGCACUCCCAAAGACCCAGAUAUGGCACACGCAACAUAAGAAUGAGUAGAUCCAAUAUCCACCAAGGCAGUAUACGGCAUAUUAGAAACUAAGAACGUACCAGUUAUGACAUCAGGUGCGUCGCCCUCCUCUCGACGACGAGCUGCAUACACCAACGUUGGCUGUCGAGCCUCAGCAUUUCUGGCUCCCCUUCCAGGCGCUCCUCGACCUUGACCAUUUCCAUUCCCAUUUUCGCCCCUACCUUGUCCACGUCCUCUCGGUGGUUGUGGUCCACCUCUCAUGGGUUGAACAACCCUCUGUACAGCAACCUGAGCCUGAUCAGCUUUCUGUGGACAGUCCUUAACUCUGUGCUCCAUAGAUCCGCAUCGGAAAUAAGCACCAGAACGUUUCCUACACUCACCCAGGUGUACCUCCACAGUCCCCACAGAUUGGCGGUCUAACCACAUUCAUCGGAACGGCUCGAACUGGCUCCUCCACUCUCGCCCUUUUGGCAUUCUUGUUUGCUCCACCCGAAGGUCCAGAAUCCCUCCGGAAACGGUUCCGAUCUUUCUCACGGUUUUGCCUCUCAGUACGCUUUACCUCCUCAGCGAUCUUAGCUUUUUCCACCAGAACCGCGAAGUCACGCUCCCUCUGCGGAGCAAUCAGCACCUUGAGGUCAUCUCUGAGUCCAUCCUCAAAGCAAACUCUACGCUCAUACUCCGUAGCAACUAUUCCCACAGCAUACCUACUCAGCCUCAGAAAUUCAGCCUCGUACUCCGCAACAGUUUUGCCUCAUUGGACCAAAUUUAGGAAUUCUUUCCUACGGGCGUCCACAUAACUUGCCCCGAUGUACUUUCCUUUAAAGGCUGUCUUAAACAGCUCCCAAGUAACCCUAUCAGCUGGGGUUCCAUCCCUUACGGUGAGCCACCACUGAUAAGCCUCAUCUCGCAGUAACGAUACGGCCCCCUUCAGCUUCUGCUCCAUAGAACAGUCCAAGUCAUCCAUAAUUCGUUCCGUGGCCUCCAACCAAUAUUCUGCCACAUUCGGGGCUACACCAGAUACGCCCCUAAAGAUCUCCGCUCCAUUAGCCCGGAGUCAUUCAGAAAUCGACCUUCGAAUUCCGUUGCCCGAACUUGCCCCGGCAACCCUUUCCAGAACUCGAAGCAUUGCCUGCGACAGGGCGUCAUCCCCGGCACCAUGAUCAUCAGAUUCCACUUUCGUUGCCGAAGGUACCAGUGCUUCUACCGCUGGCAUAUGUCCUUAAGACGAAGAUCCCGCUCGAGCUCUUCCUCGGCCUCGUCCACGGCCUCUACCUCAAGCUGCUCGCGUACUCAUUUCGUAUAAUCUAAUUACUAAUUUUAUGCAUUAAUAUCAUUCCAAUGUUUAUUACAGAUGUUUUAUGAUUCAGAUAGUAAUUUAGAAUUGGUUUUCGCAGAAUCAAUGUCCAGCUACAGUCUCAGUCUUUUAGCAAGCUUUUCUAGGGUUUCAGUAGCAUCCUAUCUAGAGUAUUCUAGUAAAGUUUCAGUACAGACAGAUAAUUCAGAAUAUAUUCAGAAAAAUUCAGAAUACUUACAAGCUUGGGCCAGAGAUUCGGAAUGCCACUCACUGUUCCAGAUUUUGAAAACAGAGUUUUACAGUCUCCAAAAACUUUUUUUUUUUCAAAAACUUUGUUAUUGUAAACCUAAUCCACAGCCGAGUUGUUGCAACCUAGGCUCUGAUACCACUAAAUGUAACACCCCAAACCCGACCUAGACGUUAUGACCGGAUUCGGUGCGUCACAUCGAUGCGUUCAAAAUGUUCCAUUUUACUCAGUUUGGAAAACUUAGUUGGGGUUUUAUAAGAUACUUUUUAAAGCAGGUUAAGGUGAAUAGAGGUUGUGCACCAGGUACGAAACCAGGAAGAAGAGGAGGUGAGUCCAUCGGACUGCUUAAGUACCAAGCUCCCUUCGGAUCCAAUCCUAGACAUGCACACCACCAUUGCCACACCUAAUGACUCGUAUAAUUUUGAGAAAACCAUCUGGUUAUGUCUAUCUUUAAGAAAAUGAUUAAGUUUAAAAACGUUUGCUUAGCGGAAGUCUUACUUGUAAUCGUGUUAUUUUGAAAUCCCUUAAUGUUUUUGAAAACACGUCCUAAAGCUAACCCAUUUUCCUUAGUCAUCAUAGUUUUUUUCAUCAUAGUAAAAUAAAAUAAUAAAAAUAAAACAAAACCAUAAAAAUAAUUAAAAGGCCUUAUUACACUUAAAACCCAAAACCAUAGAUGAAAUUAAAGGACGUUCAGUUCACCAGAAAGAAACCAGGUUCGUAGAAACAUGUGGCCAGUCCAAAUCCCUCACAGCUCCAAGCCCACUAUGGUUGAGGAUUACCUGCGAGGAUGAAAAUAAGGGGUGAGUUUUGGAAAAAUCAGUGUGUAAUUCAACCCAACCAUAGCCUAAAUCAGUUCAAACCACAGAGACAGAAUAAGUUGGCCUCAGCCCAGAACAGAUAUCAGAAUAAAGCCCAUAGGCCCAGAACAGAUCAGAACAGAUAUAUCAUGCUUAUGCAGAAACCCAACCAUGUUCAACCACAUACACCCCCAUACCAUCCUUUCACCAUGUGGGGAGACUACUCGACCCACCCAACCGCUACACGCCACAGAAAUAUGCAGCAUGGCUGCCAGAUACAGAAAAUGUGACAGAGUCACCAGAUACAGAUAUUUUGUGGCAGUGCCACCAGAACAGAUAAUUUAUGGCAGGGCCACCAGAACAGAUUAUUUGUGGCAUAGCCACCAGGACGCUUCCUCCAUAAUAUAACCCAUGUCCCCAUGCAACAGAUAUACAUUCAUGGCAUACAUCAUACAGAUUUAAUUCAUCAUGCUUUUCAGACAAAAUUAACCCUAGGGGUAUAAAUGUCAUUUUGCAUACAUAGGGGUAUAAUGGUAAUUUUGCAUACAUAGGGGUAUUCUAGUAAAUCUAACUAUUUCUAAGGUUUUCAUGCAUAUCGUAGCUAUUACGUUUAGCCAAAAACACUUACCGAGCGUUCUUACCGAAUUGGGCUUGUUGGCCCAUUAACCCAGUUUUGGCCCAUUAAGCCCAAAAUAUCAAAACGCACGAAAUCGCGCGUACUGCAGUUUUAUCACUUCCUAUUACCAGUAAUAAAUACCCAUACAUCUCACGAGCAUUCGCACACUCGCAAGCGCCCAAAAUACCAGUUUUUCGGUAUUUCAACUUUUCGGCUUUUGCCGAUCUAGCCUAUGAAAGGGUGUCAGUUACACACCUGAUUUGUGACGACUUGCUGACAAGAUCCACGCACGAACUACCUACAAUUACGUUGCUACAAUUCUUAGAUUGCAAAUCACAACACUAAUCUCCAUAAUUACUUACCCAUAUUCGACUCUGUCCCUAAAAGCCUUUAAAAUUUUACCUUCUUGCCGAAAUCCGAUGGCUAGAUCCAAGUUUGAUCGCUCCAAAGAUCCAAGCCUUCGAUCCAACCCUUGAGAAGACACUAGUCAUCAAAAUAAAUCAUCGGUUAAAGACCCUUUACGCCCUAUGCCCAAAUCGAUAGCCUCCCUAGAUUUUAGGGACUUCGGCUUUUCCUAACUUGAAAAAUAAGACUAGAUUUGGAGUGAUGAGCACUUACCACUUAUUCCUUCCUCCUUUCCACGUAGAUCUGAUGCAGAUUCAACCUUUAAACGACGGUAAAAUUUGAAUCUAGAAGCUUUGAAGUUUCGGCUACAAGUCCCUAACUGUAUAGUAGUUUCGGCUUUUCUAGGUGAUAUAGAAAAUAAUGAUUUGAGGCUAUAACCCUGGGUAAUGUUGUCGAUAGAUGCUAGGGGUUUAGAGGAGAGGAAUGUUGGUCAAAAAGGAAAACAUAUUGAGGAAUAUGGCUUUGGAAAAACGGCACAAGAAUAUAGCUUUUGGGAUUUUGAGAUUUGAGGUUCGGCUUUAGUCUAAGAAAAUUAAUGGAGGAAAGUGAUGUAGAGUAGGGUGGAGAUGGAUAGGAGGUUUGAAAGGUUCGGCUAUGGAGAAAGAGAAUAAUAAGAAAGCAAAAAUGGCUAAAGGGAGAAGGUGAGAAAAGCAGCAAACGGCACAACUCCCUCCCUAUUGCCGAAUUUAUACUGGCACUUUAACCUAGCCGAAUUUACCCCUCUAAAGAAACCCUUGGCCGGCCACCUCUUGCUCCUCAAGAGUCUAAAAUUCGGCCAACACAGCUCACCUCAAUCAGCUCCUAGAUUUCCUCCCUUAUCUCUAUCCUUAUUCAAUCCCCUUACCCUCUUAAACUCUUCCUGACAGACUUUUAUUUCAGUUCCAUCACUUCCCUUUCCUGUACAUAAAAAUUAAUCACUUAAUUUACUGUCAUUGUGACUUGAACCUGGGUCCUCCCCAAGCUUCCACACGCCACUACAUCCUUCCCAGUGGCGUCACAUGACACUUUACCACUUGCUUCCUUGUGAUCCAUUUUUCACAAUUAAUUCCUAAAAGCUCAAUUUAUCAGAACCCCUUUCUCUUAUAAAAUUAAAUUUAAUUAAAACUAUCGGGUUUUAUCCUAAGCUUGGGCCUUCUAGAGGCCCACCAACAUGAUUAAUCCUACACAUAACAAACAGAACACAGAAUUUUAAAUUUUACAACUUUUACAGAAUUCCCAAAAAUUGGGGCGUUACAUAAGCUUACAAGUGUGGAAUGAUAGAGUCUCAUAAUUGAAGGAUUAGUACUGUGAUCAGAUAAGAGAAUGAGUCCGCAAGUGAAGAUAGUAAAAGAAAAGAUAUUAGAUCAUGUUGAAGGCCAUUUGUAAUAUGCAAAGUCACUGUUAAAAGAAAAGUUGAAUUAGAUGAAACCAAAUAUUCAGGAUGAUAUCUAAAGAAUAUAUUAACAGGAAGUUCUUCCGAAUUGGCCUCUGCUAGUGUUGGGAUAAUGAGAAAUUAGUGAUGUCAGAGAUAGAUAGUAGAAUCAUAUUUGAAUUAUAAAGAUAUUUGAGCACAACAAUUAUAGUCGAAUGGUUUAUGAGAACUCUUCUGGGUAUGCUAUGUGUUCAAUUAUCCUCAGAGGUAUGUGAAGCUGUAUAUUUUCAGAUGAAAUUCUUAUCAUAUGAGAACGUUAUCUAAAUAUAUUGAUAUAUGAAAGCAUUGUUGGGCUGUUCGGGUUACAAUCAGCAUUAUUAUAUCUUUCUCUAGUAUUCUAUUUUGUUUUAUUGAAAGAAAAGAUCGAUGAUUAAACCUGUGUGAUGCUGGUAUUCUGCUCCUGCUGGUUAUUGAUCUGCUUAGUAUACAUGAAGAUUAUAUUGUUUCUGUUACUGUUGAUUCCGGUGCAUAUGAGUGACGCUUUACUACUGGAUUUCCUCUGAGACAUCAUUGAGAUAUCUGUCAUCUGAUAUGGGCUCUUUCUUAAAAAGAUCAGUAUAGUGAUAUAUUUGAGAAUUACAAUAUCUCUGCUUUCUUAUGAUUCUAUAUGGUUAUCUGUGAAAAAUAUCUAUUGAAUGAUUGUAAUUAUAUUUCAAUUUCUCUUAGGUUCAAAAUGCAUUAUUGAUAAUUGGGACAUUAUAUAUCUAUACGAUUGAGAUGUCAGCCUUAUUAUGGCACUAUGAUUUUAAUUUAUCUGAUGGUUGUGGCUUCAGUAUGGUUCAAAGCUUUGUUGAUUAAUAAUGGAAAAGUUAUUACUUGACAGUCGAGAUCGAUUCAAUUGUUUAGUUUGAUUAGAUUAAUUGCUUGAAGGAUUAAUCGAGUUACUUGUAUCUGAAUCUAUCCACAGGGUGGAAAUAAAGUUUGAAUGUUCACGGAUAAAUAGAUGAAUAUUCUGAAUGUAGGAUUCAUAUUCUAGAAGAUAUGAUACUGAAUUAUAUCCAUCAGAACGAUUUUAUUGAGAAAUGUUUUUAUAGAUCACGACUGGAAAGUUUGAAUGAUGUGAUAUUUAUCAAUAAAGUGGUAAACAGUUGAAGAAAUUGUUAAUUGAAGCGUCAGUUCUCAGGUAAAGAGUUAUUCGACACAAGAAUUAAAGAUGGUUUGAACUGUUGAAAGAUUAUGAGUCAGCAAUUGAUUAUCAAACUGGGCUAAUGAUUAUAGUCUUUGGGGUUCUGAGCGAGAAUCUUUAUGUGUUUUACGAUCGAUAAUCAUGUGAUUAAUCUUAUCAAAUGAUGAGUAGUUAUUGGCUGAGCUAGAAACUAAAUUGAUGUUUAAUUAGCAAAUUUGUGAGGCUAAGAGGUGUGUCAAUGAAUUACAAGUUAAAAAGGGUACAACGUAAAUUGAUUUCUGAUUUAGAAUUUCAGAUUGGAACCGACAAUUGUUCGUUGUGUCGAGAUAGAGUUCGUGUAUUGAGAAAUCCAGAGAUUUUACAACAAUUGUGACAUCUAGCACAGUGGUAAUUAUCUGUCCGUACAGGGAGUACUAAAAGAGUGCCAGUUUUCAUUGUUCAAAUGGAGACACGAGGAUUAUAUCGUGUUACUAAAAUAAACUAUUGUGAGCUUUGGAUAUGGAAUUACUUUGCAACACUGUGUUCUAGAACUUGAAAGCAACCGAGAAAGACAUUUAUUAUUGGUUAAGUUUGCGUAUAAUAAUAAUAGUUAUGAGAUGGAUGUUAAGAUAGCAUUGUAUGAGGGUGGUAUGGUUGCAAUCACUGAACUUCGUUGUAUUGAAUUGAAUUUUUAUAAAAAGAAUUUCGGGGUCGAUGUGCUUGGAAAGACUGAGGGGAAAUGAAAGUAAUUCAUGACCAUCAAAAAACAGUUUCAGAUUUGCAGAAAAUAUAUGUGGGCUUGAUGCGUAAAAGCUUUGAAUUUUCAAUUAGAAAAUUGAGUAUUUGUAAAGGUAUUAUAGUGGGAAUAGAAAUGAUAGAUUUAGCUAUAAAGAGAAGUUGAGUUCACAAUUCAUCGGAUUGAAUGAGAUUAUUAUCAAAACUUGAGAAGACCCGUAAUGUGUUUCUUAUAUAUAUAAUGUGAUGAUACAAAUAAUAUCCUUUAUCUAGGGUAUCUCUUACAGAAGUAGAAACUCAGCUUGUUAUGAUGUAUAGCAAAGAGCAGAUCAUAAUCUUAGCUCAUGAGAUUGAAAAGUUGAGAAAUCUGAGGCUAGGUGAGAAAUUGUUGAGGUUGGUGAAAGAAAAUCACUAAUUUAUUCUCUGGUAAGAUUUUCGGGGACGAAAAUCCCUAAGGGGGGAGAGUUGUAACAGUCCGUUUUUAGGGUUAAUCAGAACAGUGGUUUCGGGUCCACCAAAUCCGACGAGUAGGUUUGUAAAUAUUAUAUUUAAUAUUUACGAGCUAAUUGUGAUUUUAAAAAUAUAUAUUUUUGAUAUUGUGAUUUUUGUUUUAUAAACGAUUUAUUAAGUUUAAGUGGUAUGACCCUAAGGUCAAGUGGGUUUAGAAAAUGAGGUAUCAGGACCUUGUUUCUAUAAACCGAGUCGUAAAUAUUUUUAUAAAUAUUUACGUAGUGGCAAUAAGAUGGUAUUAAAGUUUCGUUGAAAAAUUUUAUCGUUUCGAUAGUUAAUUAAGCAAAAAGGACUAAAUUGCGUAAAGUGCAAAAGUUCUGUUCUAUAAGCUAAAGGUAUUAAAUAGAUAUAGAACUUAAAAGUGAAAGUCCUUGUUUGGUAAUUAGCCCAUUAAAGAGAUAGUGGGAUAUGAUGGCUUGGCAUUUGGUGUAAUAAAUAAAGUGUAUAAAGGUUGAUAUUGUAAAUUGGUUAAAAAUAAUAAUAAAAUGAAUAAAAUAAAAGAAUCAAGGUGUCAUCUUUUUCAUUCUCUUUUUACCAGCCAAAUAUGAAGCUUGAGAAGCCAUGGACGAAGCUUCCAACUUUCGGCUAAUGCAUGGUAGGCGUUUCUAGUCUCAUUUUUAAUUAUUUUUAUAUUUUCGGGAUCGUUGUUGCUUAAUCUAUCUAAUAAGAGGGCUAUUUUGCAAAACCAUUGAAUAGUUUGAUAUUUUCCAUUGAUGAGUAUAAUAGGGUUUUGAAGUUUAAUGGAAGAAUAUGAGUCUUUGUUGAUAGUUAAACACUUUUUGUUAAGUGAAUUUUUGUGAAAUUGACAAUUAAGGGCUAAAUUGAUAAAUGUGAAAACUUUGUGGUUAAAAUGUCAAAUAAAUGAAAUGUGUGGGCUGCUAGAGACACUAGUGAUAUUCUUCUAUAGUAGAAUUUUACUCAAUUUCAUGAAUUUGCAUUUUUAUGAUAUAGGGACUAAAUUGUAAAGAAGUUGAAAUAUUAUGGGCAAAACUAUAAUUUUCCCAUAAAGUGAAUUAUGGACUGUUUUGAUACCAUGAACAUUUGGCUAAGCUUAAUUAUGGUUAAAAUGGUUAAUUUGCAUGUUUUGAGGUCAGGGACUAAAAUGAAUAAAAGUAAAACUUUAGGGGUAGUUUUGUAAAAAUGACAAAAAUGACCAAAUUGUAUGAAAUGAGGUGUUUUACUGUCUAAAUUAAUAUAUUGAAUGAAAUUGUUAAUUUAGAUCAAGAUCGGGUGGAAAAUCGAGGAAAAUAAGAAAAUUACCAAAAUACCCCUGAACUUUGGUAUCUCUACAAUUUAGCCAGGUAAGUUCGUAUGCAAUAAGCAUUGUUAAAUUUAUGUUUCUAAUGCUUUAAUAUCAUAUAAAUUGUAUAUAAGUGAAUUUUUUAAUGUCUGACGACAUAUCGACAAAAUGUGGCACUUAGUGUGCGGGGCAAUCAAAUAUGGUACUCAGUGUACGAAAUAUUGAGAAUGGCACUUAAUGUGCGAGAUAUUGAGAAUGGCACUUAGUGUGCAAAAUAUUGAAUGAUUAAAUAGAGCAAAGUGAACAGGUAUACAUGCUAUAUUAUAUGAAUUGUUUAUGAGACGACUUUAUAAUGGUGUUAUAUCCAGGCUAAGUCCCGAAGGCAUUCGUGUUGGUGUUAUAUCCGGGCUAAGUCUUGAAGGCAUUCAUGCUGGUGUUAUAUUCGGGCUAAGUCCCGAAGGCAUUCGUGCUGGUGUUAUAUCUGGGCUAAGGCCCGAAGGCAUUCGUGCUGGUGUUAUAUCCGGGCUAAAGUCCCGCAGGCUUUCUGCUGGUAUUAUAUCCGGGCUUAAAGUCCCGCAUGCUUUGUGGUGGUGAUUGGAUUUGGGUUUUAAACCUAGCAGACUUAAUGCCGAUGAUUGGAGUAAGAUUAUGAUUUCGAAUGUUCGUAGUAAACUACCAUUUAAUAUGUUCAAUGCAUUAAGUUGGUCAGGUAUGUAUUAUAUACUUUUAUAUGUUAGAUUGAUUGGAAUUGAAUCAUGAAUGCGAAAUGAGAAGUAUAUGUGAAAAUCUCAUAUUUGUAUGUGUGUAUUCGGUUAUGGUGAAAGGUUACAUGAGAUUGAUUUGGUGAUAUACAUGUUAAAUAAUAUGAAUGUAAAGAAUGUGUAAUAAAUCUGCUUGGGACAGCAGCAGUAACGUGAUUUUGAAAAAUCACCAUAAAUUGUGGGAGUUGAGUUAGAGGCUAAAUAAAUUAUGCCAUGAGAUCUUAAUGAGUCUAGUUUCUUAUAAAAGAAACCGUGUAAGCAAAAGAAUUUCCAAUAAUGAGAUAUUUGAAGUGGCAUGGAAUAGAGUCAAAAUGACUUCAAGGUCCCUUGUUUUAUUUUCAGAAAAUCAUUAUAAAUGGUACAAAAAUGGUUAUAAGAUAAAAUUUAUAUUCUUAGACUCCUUAAUUAGUAUAGUUUCAAAUGAAAUAAACCAUAACAUAUUUUGAAUUCUGUAUAAUGAGAAAUUUGAUUCGUAGUGAAGAGUGGUCAGAAUAGUCAAACAGUGAAACAGAGGAAAACUUCAAGAAAAAUCUGGUAUUGAUUGGUCAAACCAAAAAUUCUGAAAAUUCGAUGGAUGGAAGAUAUAUGAGUCUAUUUUCAGGGAAAAUUAACGGCACUUGAUUUGGAGUUUCUUAGCUCCAGUUAUAAAUAAUUUAGUGACUAUUGCUCAGGAAGACAGCUUGUAGUGAAUUUGUGAUUUUGUUGCAAACAUGGUUAAAACUUGUUAAUGAGAUGCUUUUCGAGUUUUUAUGAUCUUAUUUUUUAUUUCAAUAUUUGGUUUUAAUUCAGUUCAGAUUCAAAGUGAGGUGAAUUUGCUACAUAUGCAUUAUGUUCAUGGAUACUUGGCCAAAAUGGAAAUUAUCUAGGAAUGAUUUCUUGAAAAUUUGAAUAAUCGAUCUAUAAGUAAAUUAAUUGUUUGCAUUGCUUAAAACUUACUAAGCAUUGAAGCUUACUCCGUGUUCUCUUUUCCAUUUCUUAUAGGUUUAUACUUUAGCUCGAGUUGGAAGGGCCGAAGAUAUCAUCACACUAUCGAGUCAUUAUGUGAGUUGAGAAGAUUGUAUAUCAUCAUGGUUUAAGGCAUGUAUAAGAUAGACUAUAGGUAGAAUGAUAUUUCGACUUGUAUGCAUUAUAGCCAUGCAAAGAUGGCUUGCUCAUUUUGUUUAGAGAAGCCUUAUAAUUGAACUAAUGUGGUGAAAUGUUUUAGUUAUAACUUGAUAGUAUUUAAAUUGUUAUUAGAUAUUCGGUUAUGUUUUGAUAGUGAGUCAUUUUGGAAAUUUAUAAGAGCUCCUAUGGAAAAU